RNAcentral lists this ribosomal RNA (303 nucleotides) under uncultured bacterium. RNAcentral describes it as "partial 16S ribosomal RNA". It matches the Rfam family "Bacterial small subunit ribosomal RNA", at positions 507 to 807 of the family's 1533-position model. The record is from RNAcentral.
AGCAGUCGCCACGGUAAUACGUAGGGUGCGAGCGUUAAUCGGAAUUACUGGGCGUAAAGCGUGCGCAGGCGGUUUUGUAAGACAGGCGUGAAAUCCCCGGGCUCAACCUGGGAAUGGCGCUUGUGACUGCAAAGCUAGAGUGCGGCAGAGGGGGAUGGAAUUCCGCGUGUAGCAGUGAAAUGCGUAGAUAUGCGGAGGAACACCGAUGGCGAAGGCAAUCCCCUGGGCCUGCACUGACGCUCAUGCACGAAAGCGUGGGGAGCAAACAGGAUUAGAUACCCCAGUAGUCCCUGUCUCUUAUAC